AUCUCUGCAGGGACGCAUGAGACGUUUCCAGUCCCUACCAGGCUCUGCCGCUUCAUCCCAGUCUUCCACAUGAUAAGUGACAACAAUCAAAAUACAAUAGUCAAGAAUUAAAGAGUAACAAAAAAUCCAGAUACUGUCAGCACCUGAAACCUCAUCUAUUUCUUCAGCCUGCAUUUGUCUUCUCCUAGAAAGAUGUGUAGAGGAACAGAAAAACAGACGUGUUCACUCCAAUGAUCUGGGAGGGAGAGAGACAAUUCUGAAAGAAAAAGCAUUCCCCAGUUGGAAAGAACAGAUUUGUCUUGAGAAAAUGGAAUGUAGAGAGAAACUGCCAAGCUUCUGCUGAAAAACGUAAUGAAAAACACCUGCAAUGUAUUUCCCCAUGGAGCAUAAUUAAGUGAGAAAGAUUGGUGCUUAUUAGAACUUAGACUCCUAGCAAAAUUUAAGGUAUUUUCUUCUUAUAUGGAAGAUUUGCAAGCAUUUUUA
Molecule: long non-coding RNA, 483 nt
Organism: Alligator sinensis (Chinese alligator)
Lineage: Eukaryota; Metazoa; Chordata; Crocodylia; Alligatoridae
Exons: 3
Source: RefSeq, a predicted model, not a curated record